GGGUUGUGAGGUUAAGCGACUAAGCGUACACGGUGGAUGCCCUGGCAGUCAGAGGCGAUGAAGGACGUGCUAAUCUGCGAUAAGCGUCGGUAAGGUGAUAUGAACCGUUAUAACCGGCGAUUUCCGAAUGGGGAAACCCAGUGUGAUUCGUCACACUAUCAUUAACUGAAUCCAUAGGUUAAUGAGGCGAACCGGGGGAACUGAAACAUCUAAGUACCCCGAGGAAAAGAAAUCAACCGAGAUUCCCCCAGUAGCGGCGAGCGAACGGGGAGCAGCCCAGAGCCUGAAUCAGUGUGUGUGUUAGUGGAAGCGUCUGGAAAGGCGCGCGAUACAGGGUGACAGCCCCGUACACAAAAAUGCACAUGCUGUGAGCUCGAUGAGUAGGGCGGGACACGUGGUAUCCUGUCUGAAUAUGGGGGGACCAUCCUCCAAGGCUAAAUACUCCUGACUGACCGAUAGUGAACCAGUACCGUGAGGGAAAGGCGAAAAGAACCCCGGCGAGGGGAGUGAAAAAGAACCUGAAACCGUGUACGUACAAGCAGUGGGAGCACGCUUAGGCGUGUGACUGCGUACCUUUUGUAUAAUGGGUCAGCGACUUAUAUUCUGUAGCAAGGUUAACCGAAUAGGGGAGCCGAAGGGAAACCGAGUCUUAACUGGGCGUUAAGUUGCAGGGUAUAGACCCGAAACCCGGUGAUCUAGCCAUGGGCAGGUUGAAGGUUGGGUAACACUAACUGGAGGACCGAACCGACUAAUGUUGAAAAAUUAGCGGAUGACUUGUGGCUGGGGGUGAAAGGCCAAUCAAACCGGGAGAUAGCUGGUUCUCCCCGAAAGCUAUUUAGGUAGCGCCUCGUGAAUUCAUCUCCGGGGGUAGAGCACUGUUUCGGCAAGGGGGUCAUCCCGACUUACCAACCCGAUGCAAACUGCGAAUACCGGAGAAUGUUAUCACGGGAGACACACGGCGGGUGCUAACGUCCGUCGUGAAGAGGGAAACAACCCAGACCGCCAGCUAAGGUCCCAAAGUCAUGGUUAAGUGGGAAACGAUGUGGGAAGGCCCAGACAGCCAGGAUGUUGGCUUAGAAGCAGCCAUCAUUUAAAGAAAGCGUAAUAGCUCACUGGUCGAGUCGGCCUGCGCGGAAGAUGUAACGGGGCUAAACCAUGCACCGAAGCUGCGGCAGCGACGCUUAUGCGUUGUUGGGUAGGGGAGCGUUCUGUAAGCCUGUGAAGGUGUACUGUGAGGUAUGCUGGAGGUAUCAGAAGUGCGAAUGCUGACAUAAGUAACGAUAAAGCGGGUGAAAAGCCCGCUCGCCGGAAGACCAAGGGUUCCUGUCCAACGUUAAUCGGGGCAGGGUGAGUCGACCCCUAAGGCGAGGCCGAAAGGCGUAGUCGAUGGGAAACAGGUUAAUAUUCCUGUACUUGGUGUUACUGCGAAGGGGGGACGGAGAAGGCUAUGUUGGCCGGGCGACGGUUGUCCCGGUUUAAGCGUGUAGGCUGGUUUUCCAGGCAAAUCCGGAAAAUCAAGGCUGAGGCGUGAUGACGAGGCACUACGGUGCUGAAGCAACAAAUGCCCUGCUUCCAGGAAAAGCCUCUAAGCAUCAGGUAACAUCAAAUCGUACCCCAAACCGACACAGGUGGUCAGGUAGAGAAUACCAAGGCGCUUGAGAGAACUCGGGUGAAGGAACUAGGCAAAAUGGUGCCGUAACUUCGGGAGAAGGCACGCUGAUAUGUAGGUGAAGUCCCUCGCGGAUGGAGCUGAAAUCAGUCGAAGAUACCAGCUGGCUGCAACUGUUUAUUAAAAACACAGCACUGUGCAAACACGAAAGUGGACGUAUACGGUGUGACGCCUGCCCGGUGCCGGAAGGUUAAUUGAUGGGGUCAGCGCAAGCGAAGCUCUUGAUCGAAGCCCCGGUAAACGGCGGCCGUAACUAUAACGGUCCUAAGGUAGCGAAAUUCCUUGUCGGGUAAGUUCCGACCUGCACGAAUGGCGUAAUGAUGGCCAGGCUGUCUCCACCCGAGACUCAGUGAAAUUGAACUCGCUGUGAAGAUGCAGUGUACCCGCGGCAAGACGGAAAGACCCCGUGAACCUUUACUAUAGCUUGACACUGAACAUUGAGCCUUGAUGUGUAGGAUAGGUGGGAGGCUUUGAAGUGUGGACGCCAGUCUGCAUGGAGCCGACCUUGAAAUACCACCCUUUAAUGUUUGAUGUUCUAACGUGGACCCGUAAUCCGGGUUGCGGACAGUGUCUGGUGGGUAGUUUGACUGGGGCGGUCUCCUCCUAAAGAGUAACGGAGGAGCACGAAGGUUGGCUAAUCCUGGUCGGACAUCAGGAGGUUAGUGCAAUGGCAUAAGCCAGCUUGACUGCGAGCGUGACGGCGCGAGCAGGUGCGAAAGCAGGUCAUAGUGAUCCGGUGGUUCUGAAUGGAAGGGCCAUCGCUCAACGGAUAAAAGGUACUCCGGGGAUAACAGGCUGAUACCGCCCAAGAGUUCAUAUCGACGGCGGUGUUUGGCACCUCGAUGUCGGCUCAUCACAUCCUGGGGCUGAAGUAGGUCCCAAGGGUAUGGCUGUUCGCCAUUUAAAGUGGUACGCGAGCUGGGUUUAGAACGUCGUGAGACAGUUCGGUCCCUA
This 2623-nucleotide ribosomal RNA is filed under the name Escherichia coli. RNAcentral describes it as "partial 23S ribosomal RNA". It matches the Rfam family "Bacterial large subunit ribosomal RNA". Lineage: Bacteria; Pseudomonadati; Pseudomonadota; Gammaproteobacteria; Enterobacterales; Enterobacteriaceae. The record is from RNAcentral.